This 497-nucleotide ribosomal RNA is filed under the name uncultured bacterium. RNAcentral's name for it is "partial 16S ribosomal RNA". It matches the Rfam family "Bacterial small subunit ribosomal RNA", at positions 28 to 507 of the family's 1533-position model. The record is from RNAcentral.
GAUGAACGCUGGCGGCGUGCCUAAUACAUGCAAGUCGAGCGAACGGACGAGAAGCUUGCUUCUCUGAUGUUAGCGGCGGACGGGUGAGUAACACGUGGAUAACCUACCUAUAAGACUGGGAUAACUUCGGGAAACCGGAGCUAAUACCGGAUAAUAUUUUGAACCGCAUGGUUCAAAAGUGAAAGACGGUCUUGCUGUCACUUAUAGAUGGAUCCGCGCUGCGUUAGCUAGUUGGUAAGGUAACGGCUUACCAAGGCAACGAUGCAUAGCCGACCUGAGAGGGUGAUCGGCCACACUAGAACUGAGACACGGUCCAGGCUCCUACGGGAGGCAGCAGUAGGGAAUCUUCCGCAAUGGGCGAAAGCCUGACGGAGCAACGCCGCGUGAGUGAUGAAGGUCUUCGGAUCGUAAAACUCUGUUAUUAGGGAAGAACAUAUGUGUAAGUAACUGUGCACAUCUUGACGGUACCUAAUCAGAAAGCCACGGCUAACUACGUG